CGCCAGACUCCUACGGGAGGCAGCAGUGGGGGAUAUUGCACAAUGGGGGGAACCCUGAUGCAGCGACGCCGCGUGGGUGAAGGAGCGUUUCGGCGCGUAAAGCCCUAUCGGCAGGGAAGAAGGAGGACGGUACCUGACUAAGAAGCCCCGGCUAACUACGUGCCAGCAGCCGCGGUAAUACGUAGGGGGCAAGCGUUAUCCGGAUUUACUGGGUGUAAAGGGAGCGUAGACGGCAAUGCAAGCCAGAUGUGAAAGCCCGGGGCUCAACCCCGGGACUGCAUUUGGAACUGUGUAGCUGGAGUGUCGGAGAGGCAGGCGGAAUUCCUAGUGUAGCGGUGAAAUGCGUAGAUAUUAGGAGGAACACCAGUGGCGAAGGCGGCCUGCUGGACGAUGACUGACGUUGAGGCUCGAAAGCGUGGGGAGCAAACAGGAUUAGAUACCCCUGUAUG
This 449-nucleotide ribosomal RNA is filed under the name uncultured bacterium. Its description in RNAcentral is "partial 16S ribosomal RNA". It matches the Rfam family "Bacterial small subunit ribosomal RNA", at positions 329 to 793 of the family's 1533-position model. The record is from RNAcentral.